AAGACUAUAGACCUGCGGAGUACCUGCGGAAGGAUCAUUACCGAGUGAUGGUUUUUUUCUUUUCUAGAAAGACCGCCUCCCACCCUUGUGUAUUUUUAACGGAAUUCUUUGGCGAGACGCCUGGGAAACCAAGCCGCUGGCGAGAUUUUUGCUGUUGUGCAAAAGGAUUGCGAGUGUGUUCUUGCCAAAGUUUACACUAUUCAAAACUCUUGAUAUUUUUUUUCUAAAUGAAGUCUGAGU
RNAcentral lists this unclassified non-coding RNA (240 nucleotides) under soil metagenome. RNAcentral's name for it is "partial contains 5.8S ribosomal RNA, internal transcribed spacer 2, and large subunit ribosomal RNA". The record is from RNAcentral.